AUGAGACAAGGAGAAGCCGUAGUUCCAGCAGGAGACAGUCCUGCAAAUCCAAAGAAAGAGGCACAAGAAGCUCAGGAGAGCACCAACAAUCAAGACCAUCAAACACAACCAGAGGAGCCCAAUGAACAACCCAAACAUGUUCAUCAAACGGUAGACAAUAAUGCCACUGAAGACCAAGCCACCAAAAAUUCAAUCACCAAACAACAGCUACCAGAGUCAGGGCCAGCGUCAACGAUUGAAAAGAGAGAGGAGACAGAUGAGGAAAAGGAAGCCAAAGAAGAAGAGCAAAAUGUUCUUCAAACGGCAGACGUCAACGUCAAAGAAGACCAAGCGCCAAAAUAUUCACUCACCGAAAAAACCACAGCAGAGACGGCAGCAGCGACAAUGACUGAAAAGAUACAAGACAAAAACAACGGCAGCGGCAAUGAACUCCAAAAGACAGAACAGGAAGAUGCCCAAAAACCUCCACUCAACGAAGAACAAGCACAACAGUUAGCAUCAGCAACGAGAACAGCAGCAGAGACAACAGAAACAGCAACAACUGAGAAGGUCAGUGCCAUCCAGGUCGAGACUGAAAAACAAGACGGAAAAAACCACCAGCAAGACAUAACGGUUCACAAGAAAAAACAUGAUGCCAAGAAAAGCACAGACGACUCAAAUAAGGAUGGAGAAGAAGCUGAACAAAAGGGUACAAUGGAGAAAGGUGGCAAAGAUAGCGAUUCCGUUAAAAAAGCCAUCGAAGACCUGUACAACGCUGUAUGCAAGCCAUGGACAAAGAGAGAAAUGGAUCAGCUUUUCAUUACAACGAACAAGUUUGAUGUAAAUCUAGGACAUGUCUCCGAAAGCUUCAAGGUCGGUAAAUCAAUAUGCACCGAAGCAAUAGAGCCCAUGCUAACAAUCUUGAGAAAACAACUCAAUGGCACACGGAGAAAGAUUCUGUCGUUAAGCAACACUAUAAUUCCUUCUACCAUGUUCGUUGAGCGGGUUUGA
Molecule: ribosomal RNA, 990 nt
Filed under: Triticum aestivum (bread wheat)
Lineage: Eukaryota; Viridiplantae; Streptophyta; Magnoliopsida; Poales; Poaceae
Description: partial small subunit ribosomal RNA
Source: RNAcentral